GCAAGAUAGUAGUUUAAUCAAAAUAUUGGCAUUGGAAGCUAAAGAUUAGGUCUAUAGUCCUACUUCUUGA
RNAcentral lists this transfer RNA (70 nucleotides) under Astralium haematragum. RNAcentral describes it as "tRNA-Pro". The record is from RNAcentral. Lineage: Eukaryota; Metazoa; Mollusca; Gastropoda; Trochida; Turbinidae.